GUUUGGUAUUUUGUUACUAUAUCUUGGUUAUAUGAGAACAUAACACAUCCUUGCUUUCAGAGAAACUAACCCGGCUGCUUCAUGGAAAACAAGUGCUGUCAAGUAACAUGUACAUAGGUCACAUUUAAAAGUGUCUAUCAAGUUUUCACUUGGCUGCAGAAAGCCCCAAGCUUACAUACGAAUACUGGAGAGAUUGUACGGAAGAAAACAUUUCAGGCUGGAGAUUUUACAUUUCAAAUAUUCAAGAAUCCCUGAAAGUCCUGCAGAUUCCCACUGUACAGUUAUCAGCCAGAGGUGGUAUGGAGUGGGACAGGACCCAUAUGCAUGCACACACUGAAUACAGGAGUGAGAGGAGAGUGUGACACACACGGAGACUGAGAGACAGAGUCCUGGUGUACAAGUGUGCGGAGCUGAGACUGGGAGUAGAUCUCAGCUACAGAGACUCACAGUGUUCCAGUGCAUGCUGCGUCAUCUUCUCUACAGGCGGAGUCAGACUGCACGGCUGUGCAGUCCUCCAUGCUUCACCACCACAGACAUCUCCUG
Long non-coding RNA from Pseudophryne corroboree (corroboree frog), 543 nucleotides. RefSeq lists it as uncharacterized. The record is from RefSeq and is a predicted model, not a curated record. The transcript is spliced from 3 exons. NCBI's taxonomy places the organism in Eukaryota, Metazoa, Chordata, Amphibia, Anura, Myobatrachidae.